Molecule: ribosomal RNA, 377 nt
Filed under: uncultured bacterium
Lineage: Bacteria
Description: bacterial SSU rRNA
Rfam family: Bacterial small subunit ribosomal RNA
Source: RNAcentral
GAACGUAGGUGGCGAGCGUUGUCCGGAAUUACUGGGCGUAAAGGGCGUGUAGGCGGCCUUCUAAGUCAGGCGUGAAAGACCAGGGCUUAACCGUGGGAUUGCGUUUGAGACUGGAAGGCUUGAGGAUCGGAGAGGGCAGUGGAAUUUCCAGUGUAGCGGUGAAAUGCAUAGAUAUUGGGAAGAACACCAGUGGCGAAGGCGGCUGCCUGGACGACCCCUGACGCUGAGGCGCGAAAGCCAGGGUAGCAAACGGGAUUAGAUACCCCGGUAGUCCUGGCCGUAAACGAUGGGUACUAGGUGUGGGAGGUAUCGACCCCUUCCGUGCCGGAGUCAACACAAUAAGUACCCCGCCUGGGGAGUACGGCCGCAAGGUUGAA